AGUGAACGCUGGCGGUAGGCCUAACACAUGCCAGUCGAACGACAGCACCUUAAUUGCUUGCUCUUACGGUUGGCGAGUGGCGGACGGGUGAGGAAUAACUUGGAAUCUACUUUUUCGUGGGGGAUGACGUAUGGAAACUUUCGCUAAUACCGCAUACGACCUACGGGUGAAAUCAGGGGAUCUUCGGACCUUGCGCUAUUGAUUGAGCCGAUGUCGGUUUAGCUGGUUGGCGAGGUAAAGGGCCACCAAGGCGACGAUCCGUAGCUGGACUGAGAGGAUGAUAGCCGACACUGGAGGUGAAACACGGUCCAGAGUCCUGAGGGAGGGAGCAGUGGGGAAUAGUAGGCAGUGGGGGCGAGUCUGAUCCAGCCAUACCGCGUGGGUGAAGGAGGCGUUCGGGUAGGAAAGACCUUUUGUUGGGAAAGAAAAGCAGUAGGUUAAUAACAAGCUGUAGUGACGGUACCCAAAGAAUAAGCACCGGCUAACUUCGUG
This 492-nucleotide ribosomal RNA is filed under the name uncultured bacterium. RNAcentral describes it as "partial 16S ribosomal RNA". It matches the Rfam family "Bacterial small subunit ribosomal RNA", at positions 29 to 507 of the family's 1533-position model. The record is from RNAcentral.